Molecule: ribosomal RNA, 514 nt
Filed under: Vibrio sp. C1IR2T4
Lineage: Bacteria; Pseudomonadati; Pseudomonadota; Gammaproteobacteria; Vibrionales; Vibrionaceae
Also listed under: 1 other name
Description: bacterial SSU rRNA
Rfam family: Bacterial small subunit ribosomal RNA
Source: RNAcentral
GUUAACUGAACCUUCGGGGAACGUUAACGGCGUCGAGCGGCGGACGGGUGAGUAAUGCCUGGGAAAUUGCCCUGAUGUGGGGGAUAACCAUUGGAAACGAUGGCUAAUACCGCAUAAUAGCUUCGGCUCAAAGAGGGGGACCUUCGGGCCUCUCGCGUCAGGAUAUGCCCAGGUGGGAUUAGCUAGUUGGUGAGGUAAUGGCUCACCAAGGCGACGAUCCCUAGCUGGUCUGAGAGGAUGAUCAGCCACACUGGAACUGAGACACGGUCCAGACUCCUACGGGAGGCAGCAGUGGGGAAUAUUGCACAAUGGGCGCAAGCCUGAUGCAGCCAUGCCGCGUGUAUGAAGAAGGCCUUCGGGUUGUAAAGUACUUUCAGCAGUGAGGAAGGUGGGUAUGUUAAUAGCAUACUCAUUUGACGUUAGCUGCAGAAGAAGCACCGGCUAACUCCGUGCCAGCAGCCGCGGUAAUACGGAGGGUGCGAGCGUUAAUCGGAAUUACUGGGCGUAAAGCGCA